RNAcentral lists this ribosomal RNA (206 nucleotides) under uncultured bacterium. RNAcentral describes it as "partial 16S ribosomal RNA". It matches the Rfam family "Bacterial small subunit ribosomal RNA", at positions 338 to 561 of the family's 1533-position model. The record is from RNAcentral.
CCUACGGGAGGCAGCAGUGGGGAAUAUUGCACAAUGGGCGAAAGCCUGAUGCAGCAACGCCGCGUGAGCGAUGAAGGCCUUCGGGUCGUAAAGCUCUGUCCCCUAUGAAGAUAAUGACGGUACUUGAGGAGGAAGCCCCGGCUAACUACGUGCCAGCAGCCGCGGUAAUACGUAGGGGGCUAGCGUUAUCCGGAAUUACUGGGCGU